UGGGGAAUAUUGCACAAUGGACGGAAGUCUGAUGCAGCAACGCCGCGUGCGGGAUGACGGCCUUCGGGUUGUAAACCGCUUUUUCUCAUGACGAAGUUUUUUGACGGUAGUGGGGGAAGAAGCACCGGCUAACUACGUGCCAGCAGCCGCGGUGAUACGUAGGGUGCGAGCGUUGUCCGGAAUUAUUGGGCGUAAAGAGCGUGUAGGCGGUUUGUCGCGUCGAUAGUGCAAACUCAGUGCUUAACGCUGAGCCUGCUGUUGAUACGGGCAGACUAGAUGAAGGUAUGGGAGAAUGGAAUUCCCGGUGGAGCGGUGGAAUGCGCAGAUAUCGGGGGGAUCACCGGUGGCGAAGGCGGUUCUCUGGGCCUUUCCUGACGCUGAGAAGCGAAAGCAUGGGGAGCGAACAGG
Molecule: ribosomal RNA, 408 nt
Filed under: Fusobacteriota bacterium
Lineage: Bacteria; Fusobacteriati; Fusobacteriota
Description: Fusobacteria bacterium partial 16S ribosomal RNA
Rfam family: Bacterial small subunit ribosomal RNA
Source: RNAcentral